RNAcentral lists this ribosomal RNA (406 nucleotides) under uncultured bacterium. RNAcentral describes it as "partial 16S ribosomal RNA". It matches the Rfam family "Bacterial small subunit ribosomal RNA", at positions 30 to 526 of the family's 1533-position model. The record is from RNAcentral.
AUUGAACGCUGGCGGCAGGCCUAACACAUGCAAGUCGAACGAGUGGCGGACGGGUGAUUAAUGUCUGGGAAACUGCCCGCUGGAGGGGGUUAGCUACUGGAAAGGGUCGCUAAUUCCGCAUACCAUUGGAUGUGCCCAGAGGGGCUUAGCGUGUAGGUGGGGUAAUGGCUUACCUAGGCGACGAUCCCGAGCUGGUCUGAGAGGAUGACCGGCCACACUGGAACUGAGACACGGUCCAGACUCCUACGGGAGGCAGCAGUGGGGAAUAUUGCACAAUGGGCGCAAGCCUGAUGCAGCCAUGCCGCGUGUAUGAAGAAGGCCUUCGGGUUGUAAAGUACUUUCAGCGAGGAGGCGUUACUCGCAGAAGAAGCACCGGCUAACUCCGUGCCAGCAGCCGCGGUAAUUC